AUCAAGGUUCAUACCCGAGGAUCUCACAGGACUCAACAAUGACUAAAUAUUCAUCAAUCCCUCAAUCCUUGGAUCAAACUCUCCAGUUGGCAUGCCUAUACAAAUUAUAACGAGGGGAUAUAAAUCAGUGAAGAACUACAUCGAGAAUCUGAAGAAAGGGAGGACGAUGAUGUACCACGCCUGUGGGAUGAUAGUAGGGUGUGCUGGUAGUGGUACCACGCCUCUAGGAUGAUAGUAGGCUGUGCUGGUAGUGGUACCACGCCUCUGGGAUGAUAGUAGGGUGUGCUAGUAAUGGUACCACGCCUCUAGGAUAAUAGUAGGGUGUGCUGGUAGUGGUACCACGCCUCUGGGAUGAUAGUAGGGUGUGCUGGUAGUGGGAAAACAACUUUGUUAGAGAGACUGAAGGGCAUUGACGUGGCCGAAAUUCAGAAAAAGACCAAAUCCACGAGGGGAAUUAACAUAUAUGCUGACAUCUUUGAUGUGUCAACCACUAUCAAAGAAAACUCAUCAGAUCAAAUACAACAUUUCAAGGUAACGUUUGAUGACACCAGUCAAAAUCACGAUGUUCAAGAACACCAAGUAGAAGUAACUUAUUAAUUGAAAAAGCAGGAUAUUGAAGAACCAAUAGUGGGUGAAAACCUUGCCAGUGAAGUAAUUAGUGUGGAUCAUAUGUCAGAGGACAAAGUUAAGCUUGAAGCUGAUUUGUCGGAAGGAAUCAAAGCUGCUACUUUGUCUACUAAACCAAAGGGAGAAAAUUAUGAUAGUCAGAAUGUUGCUGAAGAUUCUAAAAUAUCGGGAGUUUUACGCUUUACGAAAAAUGUUUCUGAUGAUCCCGAGAAAAGAAUCUCUAUACUGGAUUUUGCUGGACAGUGCGCAUAUUAUGCCUCACACCAGAAUUUUUUUGAGUCCACGAGCAUUCUUUAUUCUGGUUCUCAAUAUGGAGAAAAAGUUUGAUGAUCAAGUUGGAGAAGAAGUGGGUAGCCAGACAGGCUCCAUCUUCAAAGAAUGGACACACAGAGGUUUGUUAGAAAACACUGUUUAACAAGAUGAGAAAUGAUAAAUUAAUACACAUUAUAAAAUGAUUAUUAUGCGGAAAGAAAUACGUUCUAUUCAAGUUGGAGAAUACGUAUACGGUCUGUAACCCUUAGGAAGUCACGGAGUACACGUUUGUAACCCUUAGGAAGUCACAAUGUAUUCCAACAUGGGAAUGGGAGAAGCUCUUGAGUGAAACAGGAUAUUUAUUUCAAAUUUUCAAAAUGUUAACUGAAUUAAUCAAAUAGUCCAUUUGAUAAUUUUUCAUAAUAACAUUUU
Long non-coding RNA from Saccostrea cuccullata (small rock oyster), 1311 nucleotides. RefSeq lists it as uncharacterized. Lineage: Eukaryota; Metazoa; Mollusca; Bivalvia; Ostreida; Ostreidae. The transcript has 3 exons. The record is from RefSeq and is a predicted model, not a curated record.